UCGUCCACUUAGCGCGCCGGAGCCUUCGGGCUUAAUCGGGAAUGCAGUAGGGGCUUAGCCCCGAUCUGCAGCUGUCCCUGCAACUGUGAGCGGUGAGCGCAGACGACUUGGCGGUUUUGCCGCCAGCCACUGGGCCUUCGGGCCUGGGAAGGUGUCCGUCUGACGCUGUGACCCGCGAGCCAGGAAACCGGCCGGUGCGCGUCGCUCGAG
RNAcentral lists this non-coding RNA (210 nucleotides) under Phenylobacterium sp. The record is from RNAcentral. Lineage: Bacteria; Pseudomonadati; Pseudomonadota; Alphaproteobacteria; Caulobacterales; Caulobacteraceae.